RNAcentral lists this transfer RNA (68 nucleotides) under Marmota monax (woodchuck). RNAcentral's name for it is "tRNA.Ala". The stretch from base 5 to 65 matches the Rfam family "tRNA", at positions 6 to 65 of the family's 71-position model. Rfam says of the family: Transfer RNA (tRNA) molecules are approximately 80 nucleotides in length. Their secondary structure includes four short double-helical elements and three loops (D, anti-codon, and T loops). Lineage: Eukaryota; Metazoa; Chordata; Mammalia; Rodentia; Sciuridae. The record is from RNAcentral.
GGACUGUGGCUCAGUGGUAGAGUGCUUGCCUAGCAUGUGUGAGGCCCUGGGUUUGAUUCUCAGCACCA